This is a non-coding RNA of Ictidomys tridecemlineatus (thirteen-lined ground squirrel), 5585 nucleotides long. NCBI's taxonomy places the organism in Eukaryota, Metazoa, Chordata, Mammalia, Rodentia, Sciuridae. The record is from RefSeq and is a predicted model, not a curated record.
CCCCUUAGCCACACCCCCUGUCCGGGCGCUUUCCCAUUCACGGAAUUCGAGUACAGUAAAAGCCAUCAGGAUGACACACGCGAAAAACAUUUAAUUAAAGGCGAUUUCUGAAGAGUGACCACGCCGAACUGCGGUUUGAGCUAGAGGGGGGCAGUAAGGCUGGGGCGAAAGGAAAGGGGAUGAGGGCUGUGGGCCGGACCUGCAGCUAGAUCGGUGGUAUUAAUGAUGGCUGGUGUCAUUCAGUCCCAUCUUUACAGCACAAUGAAAACCAGAAAAAAAAGACAGGCAAGAGGCAACAUGGGAAGUAAGAAUGAAGCGGAAAAAAACCACAGCGAAUCUUUAAUUUAACAAGGCUUUCAGAGACUUCAGGGAGCCAUGAGCGUUGUGACAUAACUGUUGUUAAAAAACCCUUUUUCAGAAUCUCGUUAUUAUAUGCAUGCCGGAAGCUUACAUAUUUUACUUCAGUAAAGUUAUCCUCACAGGGCUGGAUUCCAUGCACUGGGUUUGCAACACCAGUGCAGAAGGUUGAAGGCUUUUAGAGCAAGCUGACCUAAGGGAAAAAUCGAAGCCAAAAGAUGGGAUUAACAUUGAAAAAAAAGCUCGGUUGGGUUGAGAUCGAACCCCUGGAAGAUUGGCUUAGAUUGACUUAAAAUCAGUUAACAGGGCCUACAAUUUAUUUGUAGCCCUGAGGACUUCUAGAACCACAAAACUCUUUGACUGUGAAAGUAUGUCCCCUCCUCUCUUCCCUUUAAUCUCAGGUGAAUCACUUUCUAGUAGGUUCUCUCCCUUAGCAAGUUAGCACCCUUUCUAGAGAUGGAUUCUCAGAUCAACUUUUCCGGCAUGAAUCUGACUUCUCUACAGUGAAUAAAUGAAGCCCUAUAGUUUGAAAGUGCUCCUGACUGGGAGGAAAUCCUUUGCCACAGGGACGAAGUGAUUAUUUCUUAAACCGAGGGACUUUAAUUUUCCGGUAAAUUGCUCAUAAAAACAUUUAUAAUUAUACGCUUUAAAAAUGUAAUAGAAUAAUUUUAGAAAAUGCAUUUCAUGAUAGUUAUGAUAACCUUUUCUGUUGCUCCCCCCCCUUCUUUCUUAAAAAAAGAAUUGAAUUAUUAAUCUAGAAUUCAAGUCUUGAGUGGCUAAAACAUUUAUAGCAGACUCUUUUUAUGUUAGUCACCUGCUGGAAUUUUCCAAAACCUACAGGCAUGAUGUGGAGCCCUUGACUUUAGAAAAUGUCUCUGUUUCUGAAACUGAAGCUUGGAUGAAGCCUGCACUGAUGCCCCCUCAGAAUGAGACCCUUCUGCUUGUGUGUUUGGGGCAGCAGAGGUGGGAGCACACAGCACAUGGCCCCUCGUUCCACAUAGACUCCUGAAGUGGGACACAAGGAGGCCUGAGAAUGGGAACCGUGAUAGCCAGGCCUUGUGAUGACAGUGGUCUGAGGAGUUUGAUGACAGCUGAAUCUCUUUGGAAGCAAACUGAAUACUCUAUGGACCUGAUCUUUGGAAUGCCAGUAAGACCAGCCCUUGGCCAAUCUUCUUGUCACUUCUGAGUUAAGAUGUACUUUUUCUCCAGAUUCCUUGUUGUGGUUGUUUUCCCCCCCUGUAGGAACUUGUAGUGUAAUGUUAGCAGGACAGAUUGAGUUGGGUGUUAUUGAAAAUUCUCUUGGUGUGGUGUGAACUCUCUGGGCUACUUUUUUUGAGAGUACUUUCCCUUUCCCCUCCAUCUUCCUAGUCCACUUGAUGAAUUAUGAUUAUUAUUUUAAGUUUUUGUACGUACUUCUGCAUCUGAGAAAGCAAAAACACCUAAUUGCAUUUCAGGCAUCUGGGAAAAGAGAUGUCAUGUAACUGCCCUGUGUGUGUAUGGUGUGUGUGUGGGGGGGUUAUAAUUAUAUAUCCUAAUAGGAUAUCUGCUGCCCACCCUCUUUGUCUUCCAUGAACCAUGUACAGGGACUUUGAGGUCAGCAUCAUCCAUUCCCUCAUGGAGACUCCUAACCCAUUGAUCCCAGAUUAGUGAUAAAUUCCUCCAGAGCAAAAAGUCCUUUUGAAAGGCCUUCAGUGGUUGGAGCAAACACUAACUUAGAAUGUACAAUCCUUUCUGAAUGUGGAGAUUGUAUUCCUUGGUUUCAGGAAUAGUCUGCUCUUUCUCUUUUCCUCUCCCCCCAUCACUUUCUUACAUUUACCUUUUGUAUCUAAUUCACAAUAGAAAGGGUUACUUUGGAAUUAAGCUGUUAAAUUUUUCACCCAUCUUUGUAGGUUGCUAAAAAAUAAAAUUGUAACAUUUUGAAUUAAUGCUUUAAAAAUCCCAAAUAAUCAGCAUUCAAGUGUUGAUUAAUAUUCAGUAAACCAUGAUUUUUCUGUAAGGGUACCAAGGCAUUACUGAUGAAUUGAUUUUUUUCUGACUAACAGUAGAUUAAUCUGAAAUGGUUUUUUUUUUCUCUUUUCCUUAUUGAAUGUUUUUUAAAGUGUACCGAUCCCCUUUCCUACCCUAGAAAGAACAUUGAGGAUAUAAUUGAAUCUUUCCUUGAGGCUUGAGAAUCUUAUGGUGCCACAGGGUCACUGUUCUGAGUAUGAAUUCUGAUUGUACAUUACAGAACUAUAAAUGGAGACAGUGUCAGAGACUGGACUAAUCUGUCUUGAUCCCAGCAUGAAAAUUGUUUUCUUUUUUUCUUUUCUUUUUGUUAAAUCCUCAGCAGGAAUGUUUUGUUAUUUGCUUCCCUUGUUUUCUAAGUUGCAAGCAGCAAAUUAGAAAUUUCAUUAGUUGAUUCUGGUUAAUUGAGGUUUUCAAUAUAUAGGAAAAUUCCAUCUAGCAUCUAGUCUUCUUAAUUCUUUCUCUAGAGUUAUAGGAGAUGCAAAAUAAUUCUUAAAUAUUCAGGAAGGCUCUUAACACUUACAAUAAGUUAUAUAUUUACUAUAUUACCAUAACAUCAUGUAAUGUUCCCUCUAUGUAAUGGUGGACAGAAAUGCCAGCUAAUUUUACCUCUUCCUUAGGUAGGUUAAAGAGGUAUCUUUGGCAAAGGGGCUCAUGAGUCCCGAGUGUUAGAAAGCUCGAAGGUUAGAAGGAAGAACUUUAAGAAUGUCGUAAAGAACCUUUAGAUUGUGCAGAAGGAAGCUCUACUUCCAAGUUCAGGCCUGGGCUUCAGUUGGCACCACCUACAUGGAAAGCAUCCUUGGAGCCAUACCACGGUCAGAGGCUGGCUUCCUUGGGCUCGUCUCACUUGACCUAAGGAUAGUAUGUGCUUAUAUCUUGGAUGUCACAGUGUAGGGAAUUCAGCUUGGGAGUCUUGGUGUUCUUUUUAGUCAGUAACAACUGACUAUUAUUUGUUGUUGUUGUCAUUGUUGUUGGAACAAAGACAUCAAAUUGUCUACAGAAAUAGGGUGAAAUAGGGUGUGGUGAGGAAUGGGUGUAGCACAGCUUAUCUUUCAGGCAGAGCUGGCUUUUGCUUCAGCUCUUACAUACUGAUGCUAAAAGGAAUUACAGGUAACAAUUCCCUUGUGUUCAUGGAAGAACAGUUUUUUUUUCCCCCUAACAGAUUUUUAUGGCUUUAACUGACAUGUCAUCAUUGUGAACUGUCUUCCCACAUUACAUGCUAUGGCACAUUAACAGUGGCAUGGCAUUGUGGGUUCUUGGUGAUUGGCUUAUCUACUGAACUGGGGCCCUGCUGGCUGGUUGGAGAGCCUUGUGCAGUGCCCAUUGAUGCUGAGGGUUCAGGUUUCAUGUACCUUAAAACAUGGCAGAGGACUCCAGGCUGUCCCAGGGAGAGUUUCUAUAUCAGCAGGUGUGUUUUCUCUGAAACUCCAUCAAAGCUUGGGAAAGAAUAGGAAGUAUUAUGGUAUAGGGGAUUGACAAUCCCUAGCCUUGAAUAUCUUCAUGUUAACGGGUGUUGGCAUUUCCAUCAUGAACUAUCUUCAAGUUUUCUGAAACAAUUAGGGAGUUUCUGCAUGUAUGCACAGACCGUAAUAGGUGAACUCAUUUGGGGUGCAGGAAAAUGUGCCACUUGGUAUUGGAUCCUCAAGCCAGCGCAAGAGGCAAUGCACUGUUAAAAAUACCUAGCUUACUUUCGGGGAGGAUUUGGCUGAAUACUGAUGAAGUUUAUGAAAUAUGAAUGUAGUGAAGUUGCUGUAUGUAAGUGGUAGGUGUGUGUGAAAGGAGUAAGAAGAAAUAAAAUUGUGUAUAAAUGACACUCUGAAACUUGAUGGAAUUGUACACGUGACAAGAAUGGCGACAUUUGGGUCUGUGCUUAACAGGGGGAAAGAAACAGGCUCAAAAUCUAUAUGUCAGUCUACAAGUGGGAUUAAAAAUUAGAGAAUAUAAAAUCAUUUAUAGGCGAAGAAUGCUACCGAGGAUAAACAGACAGGUUGGAAAGAAUAAAGAUGAAAUUUCCAGAGAAGGGGAAAAAUGAUAGAGCAACAUUUGACUCUAUAAUGAGGUAUGUUAAUAGUGUAUUCCACACUAUUAACUAUGGUGCUGUUAGUUGGGGAAGCAGUUAGAACCAAACAAAAGGUAUAACUAAGAAUUUGAGGUUGUGUGGGAGAAAUCCUUUUGAUCCCCCAAACGUGAAUGUAGAUGCUGAGACACCAGGCUGCACGUGAUAUAAUUUUUCCUGUCUCGUCCUGAUUAAUUGACAGCCCACUGUAUGCUUCUUUCCUGAAGGUGACUUUACAAUCUCUAGACACAGACAUUUCCCUCCGAAGUGGAGUGAAGGAAGGAGAACCACAGCUAAAGUGUGUCUCACCGGGUGAAGUAUUUGGGGGAAAGAUAAGAGUGGUGUCAGGGGAAGGGAGUAGUGUACACAGAGAUUAAGAAGGCCUGUUUGGGGCUGGGGAGCGGGGGGGCCCGUGGAUGAAGGCAGGGGAUCUCUAGAGGGUAAAGAGACUUCUGUGCAAAAGAAAAUGAAAUUAGCAUUGACUCUGAAAUGGCUGGGAAUGUGACUUUCUAAUUUUAAAUUAUCUUUAACAAGGGCAAUGAAAAGAGGAAAGUUGACACUUUUGAGAAGUUAUGACGAACUUGUCGAGAAUGCCAAUUGACAAAGGCAGGUAAGGGAAUACUUGGAAAAACAGCAAGAACAGGUUGAAGGGCACGCUGAUCUGCUUACCGGGAUGGUGAAGGAAUUGGUGGGCGUGUUUAUUGACUCUUCCAAUUAGUUUUCAAGAGACCUGAAGAAAUGGACAGAGAUGGAGUAAAAGGCAACCAGAUGUGAUUCUGCCCUUCCAGAAGCAAAGAGGCUUAUGUCAACCCAUGUGAUCGAUGCCAGUCACGGCGAGGAGUGACUGUGGAAAUUAAUGGAUUUUCAACAUCCAAUCACAGAGGAAAUGUGUAUAUUUAGCAAGCCUAAAACCUCUUCAAUAAACUGCGUUGCUUUUCAUUUUCACUUUCCAGUUAUAAAACCAGUGGAAGAUGAAAAGCCCACGUGACAAUACAGCGUUCACUCCCGGGAACAUUUGUGUGACAGGGAUAUUAUAUCUGAAAGGACGGGGCAGCUGGGAGGGUGGACUGCCCAUAACUCUCAAUUGUCCAGGUGAUGAAGCACUGGGAAAGCAAAGGCAAAUGAAAUAAUUUGAUAAUAAAAAAUGAUUUCUCUGUUAGUGACCUGA